RNAcentral lists this non-coding RNA (89 nucleotides) under Clostridium carboxidivorans. RNAcentral's name for it is "c-di-GMP sequence". It matches the Rfam family "c-di-GMP-I riboswitch aptamer". From Rfam's summary of the family: GEMM was predicted in a large-scale screen for bacterial structured RNA regulatory elements. Genes associated with GEMM are involved in a diverse array of functions, including chemotaxis regulation, signal transduction, secretion and chitin. The record is from RNAcentral. Lineage: Bacteria; Bacillati; Bacillota; Clostridia; Eubacteriales; Clostridiaceae. RNAcentral also lists the same sequence under 1 other name.
AAUUGAAAAAGGCAAACCCAUUGAAAAGUGGGGACGCAAAGCCAUGAGUCUAAAGCAAUUUUAACUGCUAUGACAGUCAGGUUGCCAAU